CAAGUCGAACGGAGUGCUUCGGCACUUAGUGGCGGACGGGUGAGUAACGCGUGAGAAUCUGCCUUCAGGUCUGGGACAACAGCUGGAAACGGCUGCUAAUACCGGAUGUGCCUUAGGGUGAAAGCUUUAUGUGCCUGAAGAUGAGCUCGCGUCUGAUUAGCUAGUUGGUGGGGUAAGAGCUCACCAAGGCGACGAUCAGUAGCUGGUCUGAGAGGAUGAUCAGCCACACUGGGACUGAGACACGGCCCAGACUCCUACGGGAGGCAGCAGUGGGGAAUUUUCCGCAAUGGGCGCAAGCCUGACGGAGCAAUACCGCGUGCGGGAGGACGGUCUUUGGAUUGUAAACCGCUUUUAUUAGGGAAGAAGCUCUGACGGUACCUAAUGAAUCAGCAUCGGCUAACUCCGUGCCAGCAGCCGCGGUAAUACGGAGGAUGCAAGCGUUAUCCGGAAUUAUUGGGCGUAAAGCGUCCGCAGGUGGUUGGGCAAGUCUGCUGUCAAAGCGCGGAGCUUAACUCCGUACAGGCGGUGGAAACUGCACGACUGGAGUGCGGUAGGGGUAGAGGGAAUUCCCAGUGUAGCGGUGAAAUGCGUAGAUAUUGGGAAGAACACCAGCGGCGAAAGCGCUCUACUGGGCCGCAACUGACACUCAUGGACGAAAGCUAGGGGAGCGAAAGGGAUUAGAUACCCCUGUAGUCCUAGCUGUAAACGAUGGAUACUAGGUGUUGCCCCUAUCGACCCGGGCAGUGCCGUAGCUAACGCGUUAAGUAUCCCGCCUGGGGAGUACGCACGCAAGUGUGAAACUCAAAGGAAUUGAC
RNAcentral lists this ribosomal RNA (815 nucleotides) under uncultured bacterium. RNAcentral describes it as "bacterial SSU rRNA". It matches the Rfam family "Bacterial small subunit ribosomal RNA", at positions 58 to 914 of the family's 1533-position model. The record is from RNAcentral.